GAGUUUCCUUUGAGAUGUUUGCCUCCUGAUUUUGCUGCUGAGUUUCUAGUCAUCCUUGAGAUGCGGAAUAGCUCUAUUGAGAAGCUUUGGGAAGGAUCUCCUGUAAGUUGUUUUAAAUUAUUUUGUUUUUGGAAAUUAAACAUAUUAUGUGUGUGUUUUAAUUUGUCUACUUGCAUUAUCCAUAUGUACAUCGGCUUCGACACCUCAAGCUGAUGGAUAUGUCUUACUCCUUAAAAUUGAAAGACAUACCUAAUGUGUCAAAUGCCACAAAUCUUGAGACAUUAAUACUCAAUGGUUGUGAA
RNAcentral lists this long non-coding RNA (302 nucleotides) under Brassica rapa (field mustard). RNAcentral's name for it is "long non-coding RNA (BRAP_LNC000274)". The record is from RNAcentral. Lineage: Eukaryota; Viridiplantae; Streptophyta; Magnoliopsida; Brassicales; Brassicaceae.